GACGAACGCUGGCGGCGUGCUUAACACAUGCAAGUCGAACGGAAAGGCCCUGCUUUUGUGGGGUGCUCGAGUGGCGAACGGGUGAGUAACACGGGAGUAACCUGCCCUUGACUUGGGGAUAACUCCAGGAAACUGGGGCUAAUACCGGAUAGGAGCUCCUCCUCCAGGGGGGGGGUUGGAAAGUUUCGGCGGUUGGGGAUGGACUCGCGGCUUAUCAGCUUGUUGUUGGGGUAGUGGCUUACCAAGGCUUUGACGGGUAGCCGGCCUGAGAGGGUGACCGGCCACAUUGGGACUGAGAUACGGCCCAGACUCCUACGGGAGGCAGCAGUGGGGAAUAUUGCACAAUGGGCGGAAGCCUGAUGCAGCAACGCCGCGUGCGGGAUGACGGCCUUCGGGUUGUAAACCGCUUUCGCCUGUGACGAAGCGUGAGUGACGGUAAUGGGUAAAGAAGCACCGGCUAACUACGUG
This 468-nucleotide ribosomal RNA is filed under the name uncultured bacterium. RNAcentral describes it as "partial 16S ribosomal RNA". It matches the Rfam family "Bacterial small subunit ribosomal RNA", at positions 28 to 507 of the family's 1533-position model. The record is from RNAcentral.